Leucoraja erinaceus (little skate) is the source of this 3162-nucleotide long non-coding RNA. RefSeq lists it as uncharacterized. NCBI's taxonomy places the organism in Eukaryota, Metazoa, Chordata, Chondrichthyes, Rajiformes, Rajidae. The record is from RefSeq and is a predicted model, not a curated record. The transcript is spliced from 2 exons.
UUGUGUGCAAAUGACUUUUUUUGUGUACAAAAUCCCUCUGUACGUGUGCUUAGUAAACUCCAAAGAAUUGGGAUACAGUCAAACUUCAUGAUUUGGCCUGCAUGGGACAUUGGUGUCCUUGAGCACAUUUUCCAGAUUUCCAGAUUGUUAUCUCCUUUAAUACUCUAACACUUAUCAAGGGUGCAGAGGAUCAGAACACAGUUGAGUUUGAAGGGAAGACAAAAAGUGCUUGAGUAACUCAGCAGGACAGGCAGCAUCAGGCAUGUUUAGAGGGUUAUGGGCCAGGGGAGGGCAGGUGGGACUAGUGUAGCAGGAUUAAAGUUAAUUAAAAAUGAGCUAGAAGAGAGUGCGGGAAUUGGGACCCCGAUGAGUAUCAAGGGAACGCAGGAACCAGGAUCAAUAUUAAUUGGAGGGAAAUCAGGAACCUAUGCCCCAGUGUGUGAAAAGGAGGUAAGGUUAUACGGUCAUGAGGAAUAGGAGUAGAAUUCGUCCAUUUGGCCAAUCAAGUCUACACCGCCAUUCAAUCAUUGUCGAUCUAUUUCUCCCUCGUAACCCUGUUCUCCUACCUUCUCCCCAUAACCUCUGACCCAUAAUAAUCAAGAAUCUAUCAAUCUCUGCCUUAAAAAUAUCCACUGACUUGGCCUCCACAACCUUCCGUGGCAAAGAAUUCCACUGAUUCACCAUCCUCUAACUAAAGAAAUUUCUCCUCAUCUCCUUCCUAAAAGAACGUCCUUUAAUUCUGAGGCUAUGACCUCUAGUCCUAGACUCUCCUACUCGUGAAAACAUCCUCUCCACAUCCACUAUCCAAGCCUUUCACUAUUUUGUAUGUUUCAAUGAGGUCCCCCCUCAUUCUUCUAAACUCCAGCGAGUACAGGCCCAGUGCCGACAAAUGCUCAUCAUAGGUUAACCUGCUCAUUCCUGGCAAGUAGGAACUGGAGUGCUGUAGCAUGAGAGGGCACGCGGGCAGCUCAACGCUGACGUUGAUUAGUGCGCUGAUUGUGCAUUCUAUUUUUAUUAUAUCUCGUCUGAGCAGCCGAAUUAGUUACAGUACCAGAUGAGUCAGAUGCUGAACUUUUGAUUGUUAUUAUUAUGACAAUAUGUUCAGCACAGACAUUGUGGGCCAAAAGGAUUGUUCCUUUGCUGUAGAAACAAGGACACAAAGUGCUGUUGUAACUCAACGGGUCAGGCAGCAUCCCUGGAGAAUAUGCAUAGGUGGCAUAUUAGACAGUAGACAAUAGGUGCAGGAGUAGGCCCUUUGGCCCUACAAGCCAGCACCGCCAUUCAAUGUGAUCAUGGCUGAUCAUCCCUAAUCAGUAUCCCAUUCCUGCCUUCUCCCCAUAUCCCCUGACUCCGCUAUCUUUAAGAGCCCUAUCUAGCUCUCCCUUGAAAGUAUCCAGAGAACCUGCCUCCACCACCCUCUGAGGCACAGAAUUCCACAGACUCACCACUCUCUGUGAGAAAAAAUGUUUCCUCGUCUCCGUUCUAAAUGGCUUACCCCUUAUUCUUAAACUGUGGCCCCUGGUUCUGGACUCCCCCAACAUUGGGAACAUGUUUCCUGCCUGUAGCGUGUCCAAAUCCUUUACAAUCUUAUAUAUUUCAAUAAGAAGCCCUCUCAUCCUUCUAAACUUCAUAGUGUACAAGCCCAGCUGCUCCAUUCUCUCAGCAUAUGACAGUCCCACCAUCCCGGGAAUUGUGUCUAUCUUUGGAUUAAACCAGCAUCUGCAUGCAGUUCCUUCCUGCACUCCUGAUUCAUUUUACUGUUUGUAUGCCACGUUGUCAACAUCCCCUCAACCACCAAUGAACCAUUCUACAUUUCCUUGCCCAUCAUCUGCUUUGACCUGUCGUUUUCACACCUUACAUUCCUCCAGUUUCCCUCUCCCCUGACUCCCAGUCUGCAAAAGGGUCUCGACCCGAAACGUCACCCAUUCCUUCUCCUUCCUUCCAGAGAUGCUGCCUGUCCCGCUGAGUUACUCCAGCAUUUUGUGUCUAUCUUCGGUGUAAACCAGCAUCUGCAGUUCCUUCCCACACUGUGAGACAAAUAGGUUGGAAGCAGGUGAGGGGCAGAGGGUUAGAUGGAGGUUCCCUAAAAUUGGAGAAUGUUGUUCUUCCGAGGGAGAAGUUUAAAUACGGAAAGCGCGGUUUGUGAUUCUUGACUAACACUUGCUUUCUUUCUGUAUCUGUAUCUUGACGUACAAUCACCAUCAUUGGUUGUCGUACAUACGUGAGGAGGCUCUUUGUAGGUGUGGGCUUGCGGGCGCCUCUCGUGAUCGUGAUGAGGCACCAAUGGAAAGUGAGGGAGGCAUCGUGGAUCUGCGCCGCUUCCUGGUCAGCGCUGAAUUCCCCCGACCGACCGACCGCUCACGUCAGUCAGCCUGUCAUUAUCAGGCUGAUAAAUACCAGCGACCUCUUGCAGCCGCUCAGUGCGAGCCAAAGAUCUCAUCCAGUGGAUCUUUGGUGCGAGCCGACUUCGUGCUGCCGGCUCUCGGAAACUUGGCCGUUUGCAGUCACAUCGAUCGAGCGAAACCGGUAACAAAAAGCGAAUGAAGCCUUUGAUGCGGACCAGUGUCAAGAGAUCAGAGCCCCAAUCUUCCUCAACAGAUCCAAAAGACUUCAAAGCGGUUGCGCAAGAGCUGAGGAAAAUGGGAGACCUUUUGUAUCUCAAACACUUGAUACUCAAUCUUCAACUUGAUGAAAAUUACAAGAAAAAAUGCAACAACAUAAAGAAAAAGUGAAAACGGCCUAGUGCUAUUUUACAUUUCGUGGGAAAUAAUGCUGCAUUGAUGUUACUGCUGAAGAAAUGCAAGAGAAUUAAAGAGUGAAAGAGCAACUGGAAUGGAUUUGUGCUGUCUAAGCCAUGCCUAGAGGAGAUAUCACCAAUCAAGCAUGCAAUUUGUAGAGGAGAAUUAUUAAAACAGUGAAAAAAAACAGGAAAAAAAACACAAUCUUAUAACUUAACUUCAAAUGGCCAAUAUAAAAUUGACCUAAUUUCCACAUUCGGGGUGAAUGGGCUCAAAUUCCAUUUUUUAAAGUUGGUGUGAAUGUGAUACUUUUUAAGAAACUCACAUAUCAAGAUGUAUUAACUUAUUAUUUAUAUGUAAUAAACCUGAGAGUUGGUUGAAUGUGGAAGAAAUGAGAACUAUUAAAUACCAAGUUUCAUUUAAA